UUGUAACCAAUUAUAAUAUUCGUUUCAUGCUUUAAUGAAGCAUUUACGUGAGAUUGAAUCAAGGAGAUGUUUCAUUCUGGAGUGGAUCUGCUGCAUAGAAUGUGGCGCCGACAGGGGUGUUGAAGCCGGCAUAAAUAGCUUCGAAGUGCCUCUGAUAUUCUGAAUCAGUGUUGUUGCCGGAGGGGUAGAUUGAAGCGUGGAUGUCUAUAUUGGAGCCAUUGUGCAUCGAUGUGAAGUUGCGACGAGGAGAAUAUUGAUGCGACAGUACUGUUAAUACGGUGUAUCUGUGAGUUCAAGUUCUAGGUCGCAGCGCUGUAUUCCGGAGGUAUCAUUCAUGUUGUGCAAAUAUAGCUCCUGGCAUUAUCGAAUAGAGUGAUCACAACUUGUUAGAUUUUUCUUCUCUUGGACUGAAUGCCGAAAUUGGAAGCGCGUCGUAUGUUCUGUAUGGGGAAGGAGAACUCGGAAAGGUGAGCUUGUAUCUGUUCCUCUUGGUUUUUCUUCUGUUUUUGUUUUUAUUUUCACUCCUUGGAUCUUGGUUGUUGUAUUGGUUGCUGACAGUCGGGUGUGGAGUGUGUGGAGGGCAGUGGUUUAUGAGGGCCGUAGCUUAGGUCAUGGUUUCUCCUCGAUGCCGUCGUUUCUUAGCGGCGGCGUCAUGGUUCCUGUCUUGGUGAAGAUAUGCGGUCUGUCUUCGGCUUAUCUUGAAACUAUUUGUUGCAGCGACAAUUGUAUUUAUUCAAGGAAGAUAGUUGAUUAGACGUAAAGUUGUAUGUGUUUUGAGGUUCUUGGUGGUGGCUUGCAAUUUCACUGAAAACUACAGAGUGGAUUCUAUUUCUUCAAAGGUAUUAUAUAUUAUUUUCUUUCGACACACAUUUUCCUGAGCCACAUACUCAAAGGAGCACAAGGCUAGAUAUUUAUAAUGACCUAGAGUUUUACCAGGGGAUUUCUAAAAGAGACAGAAUUGCUGAUGUUGAGGCAAAACAUGUGGCUAAAAAGAAGGAUAGCUUCUCUCUUAUUGUACCGUUCAAGAAUGAGAGCUGAGUUAAAGCUGAGGAUGGAGCGAGAGAACUCGCGAUUCUUCUAAAGCUAGCUAUAUUAUUUCCAAGCAGUAAGUAUGUCAUUGACCCAUCAACAACUUUGGGCGGUGAACAAGUUUAUUUUUAUCGAGGCUAAUAAUGUGCUACUUGGUAUGUCUCGUAUGUUUCACAAGUAGACGUAUUGGGUACAAGCUGCUACUCAUCUAAGGAUUUGUGGACAUGGAAACCCGAAGGAAUAGUAUUGCAGAGUGAGUGGGCAGACAAGACCAACGAUUUAUAUUUCUGAAAUGUGGUUGAACGACCAAAGGUUAUAUACAAUGAGAGAACAAAUAAUCAUGUGGAUGUACAUCGAUAAUGGAAAUUAUUUUAAAGCUGCUAUUGGUGUAGCCAUUAGUAUCCAACCAUUGGAGGGUCCCUUUGAUUACAUGGGCAGUAUAAGACCUCAUGGCUGUGAGAGUCGGGACAUGGCAAUUUCAAAGAUGACAACGGAGAUGCCUGUAUCAUCUACUCAUCAAUACGAAAGAAUGAGUUGCACAUAGGUAUGGAAAGGUUUUAGGAGACUCUUUAAGAACAUUCAUGUGAUACUGCAUUUAAAAGUUGUGAUGUGAAUAGUAUUUAGUGACUAAUGUGAACACUGAACAAUCUCAAUCAGCUUAUUUGUUUUGCUAUAUUCGUCAACGUUGUUUUUUGGGUCAUGAACAAGAUUCGUCACUUCAUGAAAUUAUGGCACUCGUUAACGCUUUGUGAAAUAGCACGGAUUUUUAGUUCAGUUCUUAGUGCAGUUGUAGUAUAAUUAAUUGUACUUUGGUUUUCUUUAGAUUGAAAACUGUAGGAAUGUUGACCGAAGACUACACUGAUAUUGUGGAAAGAGGAAUGAAGACGGUGUUGGUGAACGUCGAGAACCACCAGCAGUCUUCAAGCACCGUAAUAUAUACUACAUGGUGACUUCAUGCUGUUCAAGCCUGAACCCAAAUGGUGCAUUGGUCCAUGUAGCUGAGUCAAUGCUGGGGCCCUGGGCAACGCUGGGAGAUCCUUGUACGGGAGGAGAAGAUGAAGAAUUUUGAGCACAUACGUUUUUCUCACAAGGAUCAUUUAUAUUACCCUUACCUGGUUUAACUGAUUCUUUUAUAUUUAUGGCAGAUAGGUUUGUUCCUUCAUUCGGUAUUUGUUCUUUCAAUGUUUGGUCUCUGGUAUUAGAGACAUCGGCACUUGAUAUCCCGGAACGUUGUACAUGUUCUGUAAAGUCCAUUCUGUCUUUGCCGCUUUACAUGUUUGUUUUUUUUGCGACAUAUUACCAAGCAAAACCUGCAUUCAAUUGCAUGCAGUUGAAGUU
Molecule: non-coding RNA, 2367 nt
Organism: Physcomitrium patens
Lineage: Eukaryota; Viridiplantae; Streptophyta; Bryopsida; Funariales; Funariaceae
Source: RefSeq, a predicted model, not a curated record